RNAcentral lists this ribosomal RNA (484 nucleotides) under uncultured bacterium. Its description in RNAcentral is "partial 16S ribosomal RNA". It matches the Rfam family "Bacterial small subunit ribosomal RNA", at positions 28 to 523 of the family's 1533-position model. The record is from RNAcentral.
GACGAACGCUGGCGGCGUGCUUAACACAUGCAAGUCGAACGGAAAGGCCCUGCUUUUGUGGGGUGCUCGAGUGGCGAACGGGUGAGUAACACGUGAGUAACCUGCCCUUGACUUUGGGAUAACUUCAGGAAACUGGGGCUAAUACCGGAUAGGAGCUACUGCUGCAUGGUGGGGGUUGGAAAGUUUCGGCGGUUGGGGAUGGACUCGCGGCUUAUCAGCUUGUUGGUGGGGUAGUGGCUUACCAAGGCUUUGACGGGUAGCCGGCCUGAGAGGGUGACCGGCCACAUUGGGACUGAGAUACGGCCCAGACUCCUACGGGAGGCAGCAGUGGGGAAUAUUGCACAAUGGGCGGAAGCCUGAUGCAGCAACGCCGCGUGCGGGAUGACGGCCUUCGGGUUGUAAACCGCUUUCGCCUGUGACGAAGCGUGAGUGACGGUAAUGGGUAAAGAAGCACCGGCUAACUACGUGCCAGCAGCCGCGGUAA